Molecule: ribosomal RNA, 223 nt
Filed under: Vibrio parahaemolyticus
Lineage: Bacteria; Pseudomonadati; Pseudomonadota; Gammaproteobacteria; Vibrionales; Vibrionaceae
Description: partial 23S ribosomal RNA
Rfam family: Bacterial large subunit ribosomal RNA
Source: RNAcentral
ACAUGAGUAACGAUAAAGGGGGUGAAAAACCUCCUCGCCGGAAGACCAAGGGUUCCUGUCCAACGUUAAUCGGGGCAGGGUAAGUCGACCCCUAAGGCGAGGCCGAAAGGCGUAGUCGAUGGGAAACGGGUUAAUAUUCCCGUACUUCUUACAAUUGCGAUGGGGGGACGGAGAAGGCUAGGUGGGCCUGGCGACGGUUGUCCAGGUUCAAGUGCGUAGGCUU